Molecule: small nuclear RNA, 112 nt
Organism: Pelmatolapia mariae (spotted tilapia)
Lineage: Eukaryota; Metazoa; Chordata; Actinopteri; Cichliformes; Cichlidae
Product: U5 spliceosomal RNA
Exons: 1
Source: RefSeq, a predicted model, not a curated record
AGUUUUAUUUCUCUUCAGAUUGUAUAGGUCUUUUGCGUUUUACUAAAAAUUUCUGUGCAGAGGAACAAUGACAGUCUAAAUUAAUUUAACGAUGCCUUCCAUUAGUGGGGUU